ACGUGGGGGCAGAUUAAAGCUGGACCGGGGAGAUUUAGAUCAGACUUCAGGAGACCUUUCUUCACCAAGGUGGUGGUCAAACACUGGGGCAGCCUGCCCAGAGAAGUGGUCAAUGUGCCAAACCUGUCAAUGUUUAAGGGUGUGUGGACUCUGCCCUUAACUACCCACUUUAACAUUUGGUAGAAAGACUGUUACUUCAAGCAACAGAAGCAGAACUGGCAAAUUAUUAUCUAUCAUAAACACGGUAACCUUGGGAAGUUGUAGAGCCAUCAUGAAGACAACUUUCAGGAUGAAAAAGGACUUGGUAUUAAUGAACAGCAGAGCACCAUCAGUCUUCCUCAGAGAUGGACACAGAUAAAUCUGCUGUUCAGCGGUUCAAGGCAACACAAGGAAUGUCUACCUUUCUUCACAAUAAGAAUACUAUCCCUCUACUUUUUAGCAAACACAGAUUAACCUCUUCUUUCCUGCAGUGGUAAACUCAGUCUACCCUUCCUAAACUCCAAUUACUACCUUCUAAUUUUACUCUACUGUAUUUUGUUGUAAAAAAAUUCACUGAAUAUGAUAUUGGAUUAAUGUUUUACUUUCUUUUAAAGAGAUUAAAUUGAUAAAUGGGGACCUUAUUGUAUUUUGAUAAGAAGAAACAACAGUUAAAUUUUUUAAAAUAAUUCUCAUACAGCUUUUUUAAAAGAAAAAUCUUCUAUUUAACUUAUAUUUUCCAUGUAUCACUUCAAUCAGAUCCCUUUUCAACACCGCUUAAUAAGUACCACAUAAAAGUUCAUAUCAUAUUUUAAAGUCCAGGAGUACAACUGAAACUCUCAAACUGUUCUUUAUCUGUUUUAUCCUAUGAUCUUACAAUGUUGCUGGCUCAGAGUUGAAUUUGGAUUUCUCCACAGCUUUCAUCAAUUUUCCACUGGCAAAUAAACCUGGAACCCUGA
Long non-coding RNA from Passer domesticus (house sparrow), 935 nucleotides. RefSeq lists it as uncharacterized. The record is from RefSeq and is a predicted model, not a curated record. The transcript is spliced from 2 exons. NCBI's taxonomy places the organism in Eukaryota, Metazoa, Chordata, Aves, Passeriformes, Passeridae.